This is a small nucleolar RNA of Spea bombifrons (plains spadefoot toad), 133 nucleotides long. Lineage: Eukaryota; Metazoa; Chordata; Amphibia; Anura; Pelobatidae. The record is from RefSeq and is a predicted model, not a curated record.
GAGCAUUUAUUUGCACUGUCCCCUUUGUCUAUUAUGUGGCUAAGGGUUUGCUUAACGAUGCUAGAUCAAAUCCCUUCUUGGAGAAAGGCCAGGCUUUCUUGUAGCCUGCCCCUUGUGAAAGUUGGGUACAAAA